ACGCUCGACACCUACGAGAGGCAGCAGUGAGGAAUAUUGGUCAAUGGGCGCUAGCCUGAACCAGCCAAGUAGCGUGAAGGAUGAAGGCUCUAUGGGUCGUAAACUUCUUUUAUAUAAGAAUAAAGUGCAGUAUGUAUACUGUUUUGUAUGUAUUAUAUGAAUAAGGAUCGGCUAACUCCGUGCCAGGAGCCGCGGUAAUCUGAGCGGGCUGGCAAGGC
This 218-nucleotide ribosomal RNA is filed under the name uncultured bacterium. RNAcentral describes it as "partial 16S ribosomal RNA". It matches the Rfam family "Bacterial small subunit ribosomal RNA", at positions 328 to 539 of the family's 1533-position model. The record is from RNAcentral.